Molecule: long non-coding RNA, 1420 nt
Filed under: Apteryx owenii (little spotted kiwi)
Lineage: Eukaryota; Metazoa; Chordata; Aves; Apterygiformes; Apterygidae
Description: lncRNA (ENSAOWG00000004354.1)
Source: RNAcentral
CGGCUCCGAUGCGUCACUUCCGGCGCCGCGAAGUGCCGUCACUUCCGGCCAUACAGAGCGCGGCGGCGAACGGCGGUGAGCGGCGGCGGCGGCGGCGGCGGCGGGACCCCCCCGGACGGGCCCGGCCUUCCUAUAGGGGCCCUUCCUAUAGGGGCCCUUCCGGCUCCUUCUCCCGAAUUCCCGCCAUCUCCUCGGCCGGAUCGAGCCGGUCCCGCCUUUCCGGCCCGGCUGCUCCGUCAUCCCGCCCCGGCGCCGCCUUCGCCUGGAAGCUCCGGCCCCUCUGCGACGCCGGCACCCGGCAUCCGCUUCUCCCGGCUCCGAAAUGCCGUCGGGGUCCGGCUCUCCGGGAUCCAGCACCACUGGGAUCUGGCUCUCUGGGAUCCAGCACCACCAGGAUCCAGCUCUCCUGGAUCUGGAUCUCUGGGAUCCGACUCUCCGGCCCCAGGAGCCCCCGGAGACUCCGAAAGCGCCGCGGGGGGGGAAGGUUUCCCGGGAAGGAGGAGGAGGAGGAGGAAGAGCCUGGCGUGUCCCGAGCUGCCCGGCCUCAGCGCCGGCGCCCCAAUAAACCCGGCUCUGCCUGGCGCCGCCUCGUCCUUGCCGCGGCCGUGUGUCCCCUCCCACGUCCGUGUGUCCCCUCCCUGUGUCCGUGUCCCCCCGUGUCUGUGUGUCCCCUCCCUGUGUCCGUGUCUGUCCAUGUCCGUUUGUCCCUGCCUGCAUCCUCCCAACUGUCCCUGUCUCUGUCUGUCCAUGUCCCCAUGUCCCUCUGUGUUGUCCGUGUCCCUGUGUCCAUGUCCAUGCCUGUGUCCUCCUGUCUGUCCCCAUGUCUGUGUCCGUGUGUCCAUGCGUGUCCAUGUCCCUGUGUUCCUCUUGUCCCUGCCUGCGUCCUCCUGUCUGUCCCGGUGUCUGUGUGUCCGUGUCUCUGUCCUCCCGUCUGUCCCUGUGUCCCCAUGCCCAUCUCCCCUGGGUCCGUGUGCCCCUGUGUCCAUGUGUCCCCAUGUCCGUCUCCCCCACGUCCCUGUGUCUGUGUGUCCCUGUCCUCCUGUCUGUCCCGGUGUCCCCAUGUCCGUCUCCCCCAUGUCCCUGUGUCUGUGUGUCCCUGUCCUCCUGCCUGUCCCGGUGUCUGUGUGUCCUUCCGUUGGUCCCCAUGUCCCUGUAUCCCCACAGUCCACGCGUUCCUCUGCGCUGCCCGUGUCCCCGCGUCCGUCCCCGUGUCCCGCCCGUCCCUGUGUCCGUGUGUCCCUGCCCGUGUCCUGCCGUCCGGGUGUGUCCCCACGCGUCACCCGGCUCCGGCUGCGCCCUCGCCGCUCACGUGCCGGGGCCGGGGAGGGCGGCGCCGUCAUCCCGUCACUCGGCGUCGCUCGGUGUUGCUCAGCGUCGCCUGUUGUCACUCGGUGUCACCCGCCGUCACCCGGUUGUCACC